CCUACGGGAGGCAGCAGUGAGGAAUAUUGGUCAAUGGGCUUACGCCUGAACCAGCCAAGUCGCGUGAGGGAAGACUGCCCUAUGGGUUGUAAACCUCUUUUGUCAGGGAGCAACGCCGGCUACGUGUAGCCGGACUGAGAGUACCUGAAGAAAAAGCAUCGGCGAACUCAGUGCCAGCAGCCGCGGUAAUACGGAGGAUGCGAGCGUUAUCCGGAUUUAUUGGGUUUAAAGGGUGCGUAGGCGGAAUGCCAAGUCAGCGGUAAAAUCGCGGGGCUCAACCUCGCUCCGCCGUUGAAACUGGCGGUCUUGAGUGGGCGAGAAGUAUGCGGAAUGCGUGGUGUAGCGGUGAAAUGCAGAGAUAUCACGCAGAACUCCGAUUGCGAAGGCAGCAUACCGGCGCCCAACUGACGCUGAAGCACGAAAGCGUGGGUAUCGAACAGGAUUAGAUACCCCAGUAGUC
RNAcentral lists this ribosomal RNA (460 nucleotides) under uncultured bacterium. RNAcentral's name for it is "partial 16S ribosomal RNA". It matches the Rfam family "Bacterial small subunit ribosomal RNA", at positions 338 to 795 of the family's 1533-position model. The record is from RNAcentral.